This 2804-nucleotide long non-coding RNA is filed under the name Cricetulus griseus (Chinese hamster). RNAcentral's name for it is "lncRNA (ENSCGRG00015005877.2)". The record is from RNAcentral. Lineage: Eukaryota; Metazoa; Chordata; Mammalia; Rodentia; Cricetidae.
CUUCCAUUAGCACUGUGUGUCAUUAGCAUAUCACAUGUUACAGUCUCCUUAAUCCAGUGUGAGGAGUCCCUCCAUCCAGUUCUCGGCAAACCUUUGUUUCUUGUUUUAGAAGGAACACUAUAAGCCAUAAAGGCAAUCCCAUAGUCAUAAUCUCUCUAGUAGGCUCUGUAGUUUUCAAAGUUUGAAAUUUACUUAACUUUUUUUUGCAUGCUUGUAUUUGAAAACAUGAAGGAGAUACCAGACUGUAAUCAUCAGUGUGUCUUGGGUACAGGAGAUACCUGACUUGCCCCAGUAUUCACACUGGGCUUGUAAAAGUACCUGUGAUUAAAAUACUUAUAAGCCUUUUUGAAGAAAUAAUGUUGUCUAACUAUAUAGUAGGGGACGCUAAGUGAGAUAAACACUGAGUCUCAUAGAGCGAUUGUAUCAAGAGGAGAUUUUCUGUGAAAUGAAUUUACUUGGGGGUCAAAAUGCUCACAUAUUUUAAAGAAAGCAAGUACUUGUUUGAAACAGUACAGCCCCUCUGUUGAGAUUCAUGUGGCUGGUUACAUGCAAACCAAAGGCACAACUAUGAGUUUGGGUGGAGAAAUCUCCAUUUCUUUUUUCCUUCACUGGUCUUUAAAAAUUAUGUUUUUCUAGUGGCUAGAAGGACAAGUCAGAAAUAGUUAAAUUCUGGCUUGGAAACUCAUGAGAAUUAAUGAUCUGUAGACCAAUUUUUUAUCCUAAAACGUCAUGCUUGAUCCCCAACUUCUUAUGGGACUGCUCUUCAGGGCGAUUUCUUGUUUUUCUUUCUUCAGUGUGUACAUGUGCCCUGAGGCUGUUUGUAAUGGGAGAAUUUCAUAAAAUUCAUAAAUUUAAAACACCCCACACAUCCAAAAUUCUUCCUGAAUGUGUCAUUUUCAAGUUAUUUUCACCAAAUCACAUAAAAUAAAGCAGCACUAUGGUCACCUCUUUUUAAUAUUAUCCCUUAUAUUUAAUUUUAUUGGUCUUUCCUCAUAUACUAGGUACCAUCAUGAAUAAAGCAAAUUACAUUGACCACCUGGGUUUAAAUGGCCAGCUUCCAUCUUUUGGUGUUAUUUCUUUGAAAUAAAAUGUAUCUCACAUUUAAUUUGGGAGUAAGAAAACAUAACAUAAAGAAAUAAUGCAAACUUCAAUGCCAUGGGGGGUGUGGCUUACAUGUGUGCCUUAAAACGUGUUUAUAUAUAAGAGGAAUUAACUUGCUUUGUGUAUAAAAGAGCUAUAGUUCUUCAAAGAGCGGGCAUCUGAUCCCAGAACUGAGUUCACUGAGAUUAAAUUGUGCUCUGGGAAUUGAAGGUGUCCUCAGACCCUGGAAAUCCAAAAUGCAAAUGAAGAAGAAAUCAGGAGGUGUAAACACUGAAGGGAAUGAAUGUUUUCUGAAAUCCAGGCAGAAGGGUGUCAAGUAUCUCAGGCUAACCUCAAAUUUGUUAUGUAUCUGGGGAUGACUGCUCUGCCUCUGCCUCUGCCUCCUGAGUGCUGGAAUUGCAGGGAUGUACCACUAUACCUAGAAGAUGCGGUCCUGGGAAUUGAACUCGGAGUUUUGAAUAUGAUAGGUACAACUGCUUCUAAGUCUCUGGAAGGUUCCAGUGUCCCAGGAGUUCCACAUGCACUCUAAGAUGAUUAUACCACUUUGCUACCAGCUUGCAGUAUUUUCAGUGCUGCAGAAAAGAGUUGCUGCACGAUGAGGAUUUCUGGCGAUGAGAAGCAGAGCUCAUCACUGGCAGGUUAGAUUCUGAAUCAUGGCCUACUAACUAAACCCCGGAGUGCCACACCUUGGAAACACAGAAGACAGAAGUCUCAGUGCGUCAUUUUUCUAGUUGCUUUCAAGGUAUCAUUAAGUGCUGCCUAAGAGUACCCUUCUAGUGCAAAAUGUGUUGUUCAGGAUUCUGUCCAGAUGCUGUUGGGCUGCUUCAAGGAGACUUCAAAUGGUCCUACUAGUGAGCCACCUUAUCGACCUUCACUCUGACAUUUGGCUUGGCUGCGUUUGAAGUGGUCCCAUGAGUGAGUCAUCUUACCGACCUUCACUUUGCCAUUUGGCUCGACUGCAUAUCAGAUGUUGUUGAAACCAAAACUAGUGGAUCCCUCUUCUUUCCAGGGAAGACUACAUUUUAGAAAUCUCCACAAUUACAACUUUAAACUGAAGCCAGAAAAUACAUUUUUUUGAAACUAAUCAGUCAGCAGAUCACCUGUCAUCCAACUGUGUGCCAUAUACAUAUAAUUUCAAGAAACAUUGGCCAUCAAGUACUUAAAAUUUUAGGGAUUUGGGCAACACCCAAUGCAGAACAGAUGAAUUUCAUGGUUUCUUUAUGCAUUUGCACAAAUUAAAAUAUAAGUCUUCACUUGGUUCGUUUGAACCCCUUUCUUCAAUUAGCUCUGUAUGCAGAGAAGGCCAGACAGCAGUUUUCAGAGAGCAAUCAAGAUUCUUCUGCAUGUUGUUACCUCUGUGUGUGAACGCCACUCUGACAGGGCAAAUUCUUGGAUUAAAAGUUGAUUGUACUCUAGCAGUUCUUCUUAUAACUGGUUUUGUAAACACAAAUGUUCAAAAUCACAAAAACUCUUUUCAAACAGUUAUUUUCUUUUCAGAUACAAGAACAGUAGGUAUAAGCUUCCCAAAGGUAGAUCUUACAUCCAAAUAAUACGUGUGUGUGUGUGUGUGUGUGUGUGUGUGUGUGUGUGUGUAUGCGUGUAUGCGUGUAUGCUUGUGUGUAUGUAUGUAUGUAUGUAUGUAUGUAUGUAUGUACGUAUGUAUGUAUGUAUGUAUGUGUGUGUGUUUAUGGAGCUAUAGGUUG